CUGCUGUCGCAGCCCGGACACGGAAGUUAAGCUCUUCAGCGCCAAUGGUAGUUGGGAGUCUCCCCCUGUGAGAGUAGGACGUCGCUGGGC
RNAcentral lists this ribosomal RNA (90 nucleotides) under Paenisporosarcina quisquiliarum. The record is from RNAcentral. Lineage: Bacteria; Bacillati; Bacillota; Bacilli; Caryophanales; Caryophanaceae.